Molecule: ribosomal RNA, 428 nt
Filed under: uncultured bacterium
Lineage: Bacteria
Description: partial 16S ribosomal RNA
Rfam family: Bacterial small subunit ribosomal RNA
Source: RNAcentral
GUGGGGAAUAUUGGGCAAUGGGCGCAAGCCUGACCCAGCAACGCCGCGUGAAGGAAGAAGGUCUUCGGAUUGUAAACUUCUGUCAUUGGGGACGAAGGAAGUGACGGUACCCAAUGAGGAAGCCCCGGCUAACUACGUGCCAGCAGCCGCGGUAAUACGUAGGGGGCGAGCGUUGUCCGGAAUUACUGGGCGUAAAGGGUGCGUAGGCGGCGAUGCAAGUCCAUUGUGAAAAGCCCGGGCUUAACCUGGGAGGUGCAGUGGAAACUGCAUGGCUUGAGUGCAGGAGAGGAAAGUGGAAUUCCUAGUGUAGCGGUGAAAUGCGUAGAUAUUAGGAGGAACACCAGUGGCGAAGGCGGCUUUCUGGACUGUAACUGACGCUGAGGCACGAAAGCGUGGGGAGCAAACAGGAUUAGAUACCCCAGUAGUCC